Molecule: long non-coding RNA, 556 nt
Organism: Styela clava
Lineage: Eukaryota; Metazoa; Chordata; Ascidiacea; Stolidobranchia; Styelidae
Source: RefSeq, a predicted model, not a curated record
UCUAAUAAUGAGAGGGAGAGAAAAAUUAAAUUCCACAAAUCCUUGUUUUCCUUAUUAUCAGUUCAGAUUAGUAAGCCGAGUCUUAACUUUAAAAUCAACAAAAGAAAAAUGAAGAUCUUCUUUCUAUUACUUUUAUGCGUCUGUGCAUCGUAUGCGGCUAUACGUGGAAAAGCGUGCGGUGCAGAUUUCUGCGGUCCUCAGUUCGAUGUAUGUUGCCAAACCGUCUCCGUGGACACAUCAAGAAAAUACUAUGGUGUAACAGGAUUUUACUGUUCAUCGGGAUUAAGCACCGAAUGGCUCGAAAAGGUGCGGCCAGGAAUGAGGUACAGGAACCUAAGGUUGUGCAACCAGUUGGAUUGGUAAACAGAACUUGUUCACGUGAUUGGUCACCCAGUCAAGAGUUAAUUAUUAUUUCAAUCAAGUUCGAACAUUAGAUAAAAUUUAACAAGUUUAUUAUAUCUGUGAUCCACACUUGACAAAUAUUAACUUUUGACUUUGGAUUGGUGACGAAGAAUUUAAAAAGAUGCAAAGACAAAUAAAACAAUCAUUUUAAAAA